RNAcentral lists this ribosomal RNA (1348 nucleotides) under Salmonella enterica. RNAcentral's name for it is "partial 23S ribosomal RNA". It matches the Rfam family "Bacterial large subunit ribosomal RNA", at positions 886 to 2215 of the family's 2925-position model. Lineage: Bacteria; Pseudomonadati; Pseudomonadota; Gammaproteobacteria; Enterobacterales; Enterobacteriaceae. The record is from RNAcentral.
GAAUUCAUCUCCGGGGGUAGAGCACUGUUUCGGCUAGGGGGCCAUCCCGGCUUACCAACCCGAUGCAAACUGCGAAUACCGGAGAAUGUUAUCACGGGAGACACACGGCGGGUGCUAACGUCCGUCGUGAAGAGGGAAACAACCCAGACCGCCAGCUAAGGUCCCAAAGUCAUGGUUAAGUGGGAAACGAUGUGGGAAGGCCCAGACAGCCAGGAUGUUGGCUUAGAAGCAGCCAUCAUUUAAAGAAAGCGUAAUAGCUCACUGGUCGAGUCGGCCUGCGCGGAAGAUGUAACGGGGCUAAACCAUGCACCGAAGCUGCGGCAGCGACACUGUGUGUUGUUGGGUAGGGGAGCGUUCUGUAAGCCUGUGAAGGUGUGUCGUGAGGCAUGCUGGAGGUAUCAGAAGUGCGAAUGCUGACAUAAGUAACGAUAAAGCGGGUGAAAAGCCCGCUCGCCGGAAGACCAAGGGUUCCUGUCCAACGUUAAUCGGGGCAGGGUGAGUCGACCCCUAAGGCGAGGCCGAAAGGCGUAGUCGAUGGGAAACGGGUUAAUAUUCCCGUACUUGGUGUUACUGCGAAGGGGGGACGGAGAAGGCUAUGUUGGCCGGGCGACGGUUGUCCCGGUUUAAGCGUGUAGGUGUGUGUUCCAGGUAAAUCCGGUUCACUUUAACACUGAGGCGUGACGACGAGGCACUACGGUGCUGAAGCAACAAAUGCCCUGCUUCCAGGAAAAGCCUCUAAGCAUCAGGUAACAUCAAAUCGUACCCCAAACCGACACAGGUGGUCAGGUAGAGAAUACCAAGGCGCUUGAGAGAACUCGGGUGAAGGAACUAGGCAAAAUGGUGCCGUAACUUCGGGAGAAGGCACGCUGACACGUAGGUGAAGUGAUUUACUCAUGGAGCUGAAGUCAGUCGAAGAUACCAGCUGGCUGCAACUGUUUAUUAAAAACACAGCACUGUGCAAACACGAAAGUGGACGUAUACGGUGUGACGCCUGCCCGGUGCCGGAAGGUUAAUUGAUGGGGUCAGCGCAAGCGAAGCUCCUGAUCGAAGCCCCGGUAAACGGCGGCCGUAACUAUAACGGUCCUAAGGUAGCGAAAUUCCUUGUCGGGUAAGUUCCGACCUGCACGAAUGGCGUAAUGAUGGCCAGGCUGUCUCCACCCGAGACUCAGUGAAAUUGAACUCGCUGUGAAGAUGCAGUGUACCCGCGGCAAGACGGAAAGACCCCGUGAACCUUUACUAUAGCUUGACACUGAACAUUGAGCCUUGAUGUGUAGGAUAGGUGGGAGGCUUUGAAGCGUGGACGCCAGUCUGCGUGGAGCCGACCUUGAAAUACCACCCUUUAAUGUUU